CCUAAACCCCAUGCACAGAAACCUCAUUCCAGUGGAGUUUCCUUAAGAGAGUGCAGCAGACCUUUCACAAACAAAGUGACUUCAAAGCUGUUAACUACUGGUGGUGGCCGUGGCCCAAGAUCAGAACCUGCCUCCACAUCCACAGUUCAUCAAGAAAUCCUCAGAGAAAGAACUUGGCUCCCUUGACCUCAGAUCAGUCAGAGCAAGGGUUCCUUAGUCUCUGAGUAAGUAGGGCCAAUGCCUCUAUUCAGUUGGAAGUAGCCAUAGAAGACGAAACUUCCCAGUUCAAUACCCCAUAAAGAUUUUUUGGGAUCAGGUUCUCAGGGGACUAGUACACUUAGAAACAAUGGAACUGAGGAAGUCACUCCCUUCCAUCCAUUUAAAUCUAAACAGCACCUUAUGGCCAUUCUUCCUCCCACUUUCCUAAAAGACAUAGAAAAUAAAAUAACAAAAACUCAGGAGAACUCUGAUGUUCUUGGCAAAAGCUCACACAUGUUGGAUCCUAGCCUGAGCUUUGGUCACCUUCACCCUCCCCACCUCAUUACAGGUCCAUAAAUAUGUACUGCAUCUCAUGAAUGUAAUUAAGAUCAGAGUUAAUUCUGGGAAUAUAAUUAAGAUUCAGAGUUAAUUCAAGCAUGCAAGUUGAGAGCCCCUAAGAUUGACUACUCAGCCCCCUGCCAAUCAUUUCUGUCAAUUACACCUAGAGAUUCAGGGUGAAGCAUCUGGGCUGAGGUGCACAUCCUUUAAAUUCUGAAAGCCUGAUUUAGAAGGGCUGCUGUUGCUAUUUGCAUGUACAACCUAUGUGUAGUACUUUUACUUUUUUGUCACCUGGCACCAUUUUUCUGUCUGUGCCACAUCUUUUAUUGGCACAGACUUGCCCUGAGCACAACUUCAGUGAUCUUCAAUAAAUGUAGCUGCUUACCACUUGUUA
Molecule: non-coding RNA, 931 nt
Organism: Heterocephalus glaber (naked mole-rat)
Lineage: Eukaryota; Metazoa; Chordata; Mammalia; Rodentia; Bathyergidae
Source: RefSeq, a predicted model, not a curated record